Molecule: ribosomal RNA, 252 nt
Filed under: uncultured bacterium
Lineage: Bacteria
Description: partial 16S ribosomal RNA
Rfam family: Bacterial small subunit ribosomal RNA
Source: RNAcentral
UACAGAGGUCUCAAGCGUUGUUCGGAUUCAUUGGGCGUAAAGGGUGCGUAGGUGGCGCUGUAAGUCGGGUGUGAAAUUUCGGAGCUUAACUCCGAAACUGCAUUCGAUACUGCGGUGCUUGAGGACUGGGAGGAGACUGGAAUUCAUGGUGUAGCAGUGAAAUGCGUAGAGAUCAUGAGGAAGACCAGUGGCGAAGGCGGGUCUCUGGACAGUUCCUGACACUGAGGCACGAAGGCCAGGGGAGCAAACGGG